AGCUGGAAAGGUGACAUAAAAUC
RNAcentral lists this microRNA (23 nucleotides) under Caenorhabditis briggsae. RNAcentral describes it as "Cbr-Mir-1993_5p* (star (passenger))". Lineage: Eukaryota; Metazoa; Nematoda; Chromadorea; Rhabditida; Rhabditidae. The record is from RNAcentral.